This 1124-nucleotide long non-coding RNA is filed under the name Homo sapiens (human). RNAcentral's name for it is "long non-coding RNA NONHSAT162649.1". The record is from RNAcentral. Lineage: Eukaryota; Metazoa; Chordata; Mammalia; Primates; Hominidae.
GAGCACCGCUACAGCGCGGCGGGCGUCUCGCUGCUCGAGCCGCCGCUGCAGCUCUACUGGACCUGGCUGCUCCAGUGGAUCCCGCUCUGGAUGGCCCCCAACUCCAUCACCCUGCUGGGGCUCGCCGUCAACGUGGUCACCACGCUCGUGCUCAUCUCCUACUGUCCCACGGCCACCGAAGAGGCACCAUACUGGACAUACCUUUUAUGUGCACUGGGACUUUUUAUUUACCAGUCACUGGAUGCUAUUGAUGGGAAACAAGCCAGAAGAACAAACUCUUGUUCCCCUUUAGGGGAGCUCUUUGACCAUGGCUGUGACUCUCUUUCCACAGUAUUUAUGGCAGUGGGAGCUUCAAUUGCCGCUCGCUUAGGAACUUAUCCUGACUGGUUUUUUUUCUGCUCUUUUAUUGGGAUGUUUGUGUUUUAUUGCGCUCAUUGGCAGACUUAUGUUUCAGGCAUGUUGAGAUUUGGAAAAGUGGAUGUAACUGAAAUUCAGAUAGCUUUAGUGAUUGUCUUUGUGUUGUCUGCAUUUGGAGGAGCAACAAUGUGGGACUAUACGGGCACCAGUGUCUUGUCACCUGGACUCCACAUAGGACUAAUUAUUAUACUGGCAAUAAUGAUCUAUAAAAAGUCAGCAACUGAUGUGUUUGAAAAGCAUCCUUGUCUUUAUAUCCUAAUGUUUGGAUGUGUCUUUGCUAAAGUCUCACAAAAAUUAGUGGUAGCUCACAUGACCAAAAGUGAACUAUAUCUUCAAGACACUGUCUUUUUGGGGCCAGGUCUUUUGUUUUUAGACCAGUACUUUAAUAACUUUAUAGACGAAUAUGUUGUUCUAUGGAUGGCAAUGGUGAUUUCUUCAUUUGAUAUGGUGAUAUACUUUAGUGCUUUGUGCCUGCAAAUUUCAAGACACCUUCAUCUAAAUAUAUUCAAGACUGCAUGUCAUCAAGCACCUGAACAGGUUCAAGUUCUUUCUUCAAAGAGUCAUCAGAAUAACAUGGAUUGAAGAGACUUCCGAACACUUGCUAUCUCUUGCUGCUGCUGUUUCAUGGAAGGAGAUAUUAAACAUUUGUUUAAUUUUUAUUUAAGUGUUAUACCUAUUUCAGCAAAUAAAAUAUUUCAUUGCUUAUA